CUAGCAACCGGGCAACAUCUGCUCCCGCUGGACCAAUCCGCGCCGGGAACAUCUGGGCACCCACCUUCGCGGGCUACGGCCGGGAGGUGAUGCGCUCCUCAGUGGCUGCAGGGACCCGCAGGAGCUGCCACCACCACCGCCACCUCCACCGCCACCAUCUCUUCCAGGAGGAGCAGGAGGCUCUGGGCAGAGAAGGAAGAAAGGGGAGCAGCCCUCCCUCUGGAGCUGGAGCUCGCUGGGUAACUGUUCAGCAGUGCUGUGCUGCCAGAAAUGCUCGCUGAGCCCGUACGAGGAGGAAAUCUUACCAGAACUGCUGAGAUUAUCCCAGAAAGACCCUUUGCAGAUUGACUCCGCAUCCUCAGAGCUGAUCUGAUCGGGGCCUACCCAAGACAUUAACGACGUCGAAAGUAGCCUAUUUUAAGAGAAAAUAUGCAGAAGAAGAACAUUUACAUCAAGAUUACCAUGAGUAUUGUCCAAAACACCUGAUACUACCUGAGGACCGGACUUGUAUUCUAAAACUUUCUCUCCAGAAACUCCGAUUCCUGGACGACCCUGAAGCCUAUCUCCGUAGGUCUGUAUUAAUUAACAAUCUGUUGAGGAAGAUUCACCUAGAGACAGAGAGGGAGAGCUAUGAAUACUUUAAGGAGGCUCCGUGUUAUAGGACUGCUUACUCUGAUGCACGAAAACGGCUGAAGUUUAUGGUACAGGAGUGCUGUUCCCAGUCGCUCUAUUAUGAAGAGCUGCAUUCGUAUCGCAUCGUGCCUUACUCUGCAGAGAAUGCCGCCGUUUAUGGAAUGGGCUACACAAGCAGCCACUUGGAGCAAAAUUCUCAAUUGCUUAUUUAUAAAAUGAAUUAAAGUAGCUGUUAGACCCACUGAUGUUUGUUUCUGAAUGCUUGAACUGCUUAUUGAGAUGAUAAGAUGAGGCACUAAUUGCAGAUAUACUUGUGAUCAAAGGUGGAUGUGUUCAGAGCUUAGUGGGAGGUACUUUGAAUAACGCUCUGCAGUCCCCGCUGUUAACUCCCUGGUUAUGAAGUACCUUGACGUACACACAGAGCUGGUGCAAUACGAAGGUCCUUAUCUGCAGAGACUGUGCACAACGUCUUCUGUAGAAACAAAGCUGCAUUUAAGUUAUCUGUGUGUAAAUACAAACGUUCAAAAUUACUUUAUACUUAAAUUAUGCCAUCCCUAAUGAAAGGGAAGACCCCAAAGCAGUGGAGUAGUCUAACAGUGAGGAGUAAAAUGCAAGUUAUUUACUGUAAAUGUACAGCUAGAAAGUAUCUUUGAGAAAUGCUUUGACCAUGAAGGAGUCAGUGCCAAAGGAAACAGCCUUUUGCUUAGAAUUUUCAGAGACUUAACUCACUUGCUACUUACAAGACACUCUGUACUGAGACUUUCAAGUUGGAUUUGGGUUUUUAGGUUUUUUUUUCAAAUAAUUGCAUUCACCUUUUACUUAUAUUAUCUCUUAGCUGAUAUCUACUUUGCUGUUUUAAUACAAACCAGAAAGACUCACAGGAAAGAUUGUUUCUUCAGCCCAUCAUCAGUGUUUACUUAACUUAAUUUGAUUCUUUCCUUAGCUGUUUCCCUGAUACUUUUUUUGCAUGCUAAUUUGCUGCUUGGCCAGAGGUUCCCGUUGGUGCCAGGGAAUAGACAGUAAUUUCUUUUUAUGUGGAAUAUAAAAGGCAGAAAAACAAUGAUAACUCUCACAGAUAGAGAUUGAAUGUAUCUGACAGAUGCUAGUGAAACUGCAGAGAUUCUCCUGAUAAAACUACUCAGCAUUAGUAAUAGUGUUUCAGGUUAAGUGAAAUGUCUAAUUUCAAUCUGGGAAUUGACCUCAGAAUAUGUAAAUAUAUAUUUCAGAAGCUGUGGCAUGAGAGAUGUUCAGCAAAUUGAUGUCUACAAGUGGAAAGUUUUAUAGCUGCCAAAGCUAUGUCAUGAAAAUACCAAAGAGUAACAUAAGGGAAAGAUGAUGCUCCAGCAAUGGGGUCAAAAGCAAAGAUUGCACUAUAACCAAGGGAAAUGUGAUUAACGAGCCUGUAAACUAUCCGUUACUGAUACGCCUGCAGUUCACCUGAGGAUUACUCGCAUCCCAGAAUUGCUGAACAAAUAUAUGAGAUGAUCCAAAGCCUGUCAGAAUCCUACAGGUCUGUUGGCUUACAGUGAAGAAACCAGCUUUGCCUCACUGGCUAUCACCACUUUAAAGCUUCAAAGCAUAGUAAAUAAUAGUGCACGCUCAGCUGGAGGCAGAUAUGUAUCUAAUAACCUAUUUUUUUUUAUUUUGAAAGGCUUUGCUCAUGCAGAUGAUGCUAUUUCCGAAGCAUUAUAGACUACGAACAAAUACCAUUGCUUGCCAGGGAUGUGCAUCAUCUAGGAUCCUUCCGUAACCCUGCUCAGAUCAUUCUAGUUGUGUGUGUUGCACAUAUCAUUGCUGCUUUCAGGCACAUGUUAGUGCAGGAGAAAAGACAGAAAGGCAAAAGCAGGAGGUGAGAAGAGCAAAGUUAACUCUGGUAUCACUACUUAGAAGUCAGUACAGGUUUAGGAGACAGAAGGAAACAGGGAAAUCCAAAUAUUUUUUACAAUUAAAAAAAAAGGCAACAAUCUAAUUCAAAACAAGGACAACCUGCAAACUGGAGAACAUAAGCAGCACAAAUAUUGUGGGAAGGCUGGAAAAACAGGGCAAUGCUGUUUGGGAGGUGAUGUUAGUCAUGAUGAAUGCUCAGGUUUUUGUUUUUAUUUUGAGACAAGGCAUAUUUACUUGUCUCUUACAAAAGGGUGUUUUGAAACCCUUUGUCAGUGUAAUUCGGUGUCGGAGCUGCCUGACUAUGCGUAUUUAUAUUCCUGCUGUCCCUGGGCUUGCACCAGCCCAAAACAACGUGAAUGAUUAAGCUCACAUUUGGCAUACUUUGAGAAAUCUCCAGCUAGAAGUGGCUGUGUCCUUCUUGUCAGGGACUGGCUGAGAAAGGCCAGGCUAAUUAUUAGGUGUGUGGAACAGCCCUAAUUCCACCAGUAAAAGCUGGCAGCAAGACUGCUGGGCGGGAUGUGGGUGGCUGAUGUGAUGAUUGUUGUGAGAGGUGCCAUUAUCCCCCAAAGAGCUCUCUGGCCUCCACUGGCAUCUUAUGUGCCUCAUGUGAAAUGAGAGGCUGGGGUAGGGAUAUUGAAGACUGCUGGGUGGGAAGAGAAAAUUACUUCUGUCUUCUGAUUUCUGAAGCUAUGUAAUUUUCCACUCUGAAUUGAUCUGACAUAUGCAUUUUUUGUCUUCAUGUCCAUUUUUGCCUGAAUUCACGGUGAUCUAGCAGCUACGUGAAAUGCUAAAAUGCUUUUUUUUUUUUCUUUCAUGGACCUACUUUGUUAUAUUCAGAGGAUGGUUCUGGUCUGAAAACCCAAAACUUUUAAUGUGAAAAUAAUAAUGUUUGAAUAGAAUGAAAUAGCUCUUCAAACCUCCCUGAAAAAAAACCCAUUGGCCCUGUCAGAUUCAUCUUUGAAGAGUAACUUCUUUGAUCUACUGGAAUGGGCCGAUACUUUCUUGUCCAUUGAAAGCUUCUCUGAUAGAGUGUUAUGAUAACUGGAUCAGUUAAUGAAGAUCCUUGGGCUACCUGUGAAAGAAGAUGAUAUUUUACUCAUGUUUUUCCAUCUUUUGUUUUCUUGAAGAAAAAAAUAUAGUCUGAUUUGUUUCUAUUUCUGCCUGCUUUAGGACCUGUUAAAAUUAAUUGCUUCUUUCUAGAAAACAGGUUGGUUUUUAGCAUUAAUUUUUUUGCUAGGAAGUUGAAUCAGAAGUCUACAACUCUAAAUAUUUUAAUUCUGCUGAAGUUUUUACUGCCUUCCACUUCGCACAGUAAUUUGUGCUGUUGAAAAAUGGGUCUGAAACGUUCUAAUUCAGUGCUUAGAAUCCAUAGUUUAUGGGGUGAUAAAGAAGUACAAAGCUGCAAUAACAUCGCAAGUGACUCCUGAAAUAUUUAAUUUGACACUUUUUGAAUUAUAUAUUGAUUUUGACGUUUAGUUACCAAGUUACCGGGUACCAGCAUUUUAAUACAGCUACAUGCAGUGAUUUUUCUUUUUUUGGAUUUGUAGCUACAAUUCAGCUCUUCUGGCUUCUGAUGUGUGAAUCUGUCUGUAGGUGGUCAGCUUUCAGUGACAGAUUUAUAUGUAUAUAUAUAUAUAUAUGUUCUAUUAUGACUGCAGCAGGAACUCCCACAUAUGGGCUAUGUUUGCACUGGAUGUAAAGAAAGUCCUUUCCUUUGACUCAGUUGCCUUGGAGAUAGUAUAUUCGUCAGAGAGAAUAUAGAUGAGCUGGGUGACAAGGACAGACUUGGUAAUGAUUUUGAAAAUGACUGGCUUAGGACAAUUCAUUUUUGUCUUGAAAUGGCAGCAACACUGGACUGUAAUUAGUGUUUCAAUGAGUUAAGUUGUCUUUGUGCCGCUUUUCCCUAACUGGCUGUAAAUGCUGUGCCUGACCCUGGCUGCAAAAGGGGCAGAGGUGGCUCCGCGGGAGGCGCGGAUUGGGGGUGUGGGUGAGUACAUGGAAUCACCAUCUGGAGCUGUGGCUGAAGGGGUGCACACGGCUCGAGGCAGCCUGCCCCAGCGGGACAGCAUCUCUGCUGCCAUGACCUGGUGCAGAUGCUCAAAACUCUUAGGGCCGUGAUCCUGUAAACACUUCAGUUAUCAUAGAACGUUCUUUGCACAGAUUGUCUCGCCGAAGUCAGAGAGGCUCCUUGUGUGCUUGAUGCUCAGCAUGUGUAUGAGCGAAAGCAGGGCUGGGGCUGCUGUGCAGCGCAGAAGUACUCCUCAAUUGCCUAAUUAUCAGUGAAAGUGAUUAUCCAGCUGCCGCUUGAGUUCUUGAAUACGUUUAUAUUGCACUGUAAAUUGAACUUUUGUUUUCAAUGAAUGUGUUGAGUAUAUGGACUAUUGUGCCUUAAAGUCCCAUCCACAUAUGAGCCUUUGUAUAUGUCCUGUAAAUCUGCAAACCAUGUAUUGCUGGUAACUCUGCGCAGUCUAUACACAUCCGGUUCGGUACUUGGCGGGGCUUUAGGAAACACGACCCUGACCUCAGUUUGCAAUGACAGCAGAGGGGAUACAGCAAUUCACUCUUCUCUUCUUUUUUAGAUUGCUUUCCUCUACGCCACUUGUGAAAUUCUUUUUUUUUUCUGGUUUCUGUCACACCUGGGUUCUGGGUUACCUACAACGCCAGGUGCCCCUCACAGGAACUCAGAAAGUUGUACAAAGAUUGUCUCCAGCUUUUAAAUGCCAUCUGUACAGCGCUCUCUCAGCAGGGAAUCACUAUUGCGUAUAACAACUGUGGCAGGUGUUGUCAAGUAUAUCAUCAUAUAUUUGACACGAUUAACAAAGCAGAAAAAGGAACACCUAUUUCUAUUGAAAUGCAUGAGCCUGCAUUACGUUAAAUACAUGGUGAUUAUACACCACUUAAUUGGAAUAAUACCUACUGGUUCUGUAAUAAAAAAUGGCUUUUUAAUGUUUAAAAUUACUUGGGACCUGAUUAAAGGUUUUUAUGAAAUUGUUUUCUAAAGUGAACAGUAGAAAAAUGUAUAUGUAUUUUAAAUAUAUAUAUAUGAUGUGCAUGUUA
Long non-coding RNA from Cuculus canorus (common cuckoo), 5577 nucleotides. RefSeq lists it as uncharacterized. NCBI's taxonomy places the organism in Eukaryota, Metazoa, Chordata, Aves, Cuculiformes, Cuculidae. The record is from RefSeq and is a predicted model, not a curated record. The transcript is spliced from 4 exons.